CCCGCGUUGGAUUAGGUAGUUGGUGGGGUAAUGGCCUACCAAGCCUACGAUCCAUAGCUGGUUUGAGAGGAUGAUCAGCCACACUGGGACUGAGACACGGCCCAGACUCCUACGGGAGGCAGCAGUGGGGAAUCUUAGACAAUGGGGGAAACCCUGAUCUAGCCAUGCCGCGUGAGUGAUGAAGGCCUUAGGGUUGUAAAGCUCUUUCAGCUGGGAAGAUAAUGACGGUACCAGCAGAAGAAGCCCCGGCUAACUCCGUGCCAGCAGCCGCGGUAAUACGGAGGGGGCUAGCGUUGUUCGGAAUUACUGGGCGUAAAGCGCACGUAGGCGGACUGGAAAGUUGGGGGUGAAAUCCCGGGGCUCAACCUCGGAACUGCCUCCAAAACUAUCAGUCUGGAGUUCGAGAGAGGUGAGUGGAAUACCGAGUG
Molecule: ribosomal RNA, 428 nt
Filed under: Paracoccus seriniphilus
Lineage: Bacteria; Pseudomonadati; Pseudomonadota; Alphaproteobacteria; Rhodobacterales; Paracoccaceae
Description: bacterial SSU rRNA
Rfam family: Bacterial small subunit ribosomal RNA
Source: RNAcentral